This 102-nucleotide microRNA precursor is filed under the name Marmota monax (woodchuck). The record is from RNAcentral. Lineage: Eukaryota; Metazoa; Chordata; Mammalia; Rodentia; Sciuridae.
AGCAGAAUUGCUGGAUUAUAUGGUAAGGGUAAGUCUAAUUUGUAAUAAACUGUCAAAUUGUCUUCUAAAGCAGCUGUACUGUUUUGCAUUCUUACUAGCAAU